GGAGGCGAGUGAGGAUCGCGGCGGGCUUCGACCCGUCGAGGAAAGUCCGAGCUCCGCAGGGCAGGGUGCCGGCUAACGGCCGGGCGUCGCGAGGCGACGGAAAGUGCAACAGAGAGCAAACCGCCGAUGGCCCUCUCGGGGGCACAGGCAAGGGUGAAACGGUGCGGUAAGAGCGCACCGCGCUCCUGGUGACAGGAGUGGCACGGUAAACCCCACCCGGAGCAAGGCCAAGCAGGGACGAGGAGUUGCCCGCUCCGCUACCAGUCCCGGGUAGGCUGCAUGAGGCCGACGGUAACGGCGGUCCCAGAGAAAUGAUCCUCUCCGUCGCGAGACGGAACAGAACUCGGCUUAUUCGCCUCCCACG
RNAcentral lists this RNase P RNA (364 nucleotides) under Gemmatimonadota bacterium. Its description in RNAcentral is "RNase P RNA component class A". It matches the Rfam family "Bacterial RNase P class A". Rfam says of the family: Ribonuclease P (RNase P) is a ubiquitous endoribonuclease, found in archaea, bacteria and eukarya as well as chloroplasts and mitochondria. Its best characterised activity is the generation of mature 5'-ends of tRNAs by cleaving the 5'-leader elements of precursor-tRNAs. The record is from RNAcentral. Lineage: Bacteria; Pseudomonadati; Gemmatimonadota.